Non-coding RNA from Myotis lucifugus (little brown bat), 73 nucleotides. The record is from Rfam. Lineage: Eukaryota; Metazoa; Chordata; Mammalia; Chiroptera; Vespertilionidae.
GAGACACCCCUAUGGAGCAAGACUUGCUUCAGUGGGGCUUAGCUCACUGAGUCUGCCCCUUGAGUGUGUUGCU